This 410-nucleotide ribosomal RNA is filed under the name Salmonella enterica. RNAcentral describes it as "bacterial SSU rRNA". It matches the Rfam family "Bacterial small subunit ribosomal RNA", at positions 1136 to 1533 of the family's 1533-position model. RNAcentral also lists the same sequence under 1 other name. The record is from RNAcentral. Lineage: Bacteria; Pseudomonadati; Pseudomonadota; Gammaproteobacteria; Enterobacterales; Enterobacteriaceae.
AACUCAAAGGAGACUGCCAGUGAUAAACUGGAGGAAGGUGGGGAUGACGUCAAGUCAUCAUGGCCCUUACGACCAGGGCUACACACGUGCUACAAUGGCGCAUACAAAGAGAAGCGACCUCGCGAGAGCAAGCGGACCUCAUAAAGUGCGUCGUAGUCCGGAUUGGAGUCUGCAACUCGACUCCAUGAAGUCGGAAUCGCUAGUAAUCGUGGAUCAGAAUGCCACGGUGAAUACGUUCCCGGGCCUUGUACACACCGCCCGUCACACCAUGGGAGUGGGUUGCAAAAGAAGUAGGUAGCUUAACCUUCGGGAGGGCGCUUACCACUUUGUGAUUCAUGACUGGGGUGAAGUCGUAACAAGGUAACCGUAGGGGAACCUGCGGUUGGAUCACCUCCUUACCUGAAAGAAGC